Molecule: ribosomal RNA, 397 nt
Filed under: uncultured bacterium
Lineage: Bacteria
Description: partial 16S ribosomal RNA
Rfam family: Bacterial small subunit ribosomal RNA
Source: RNAcentral
AUACGUAGGGGGCGAGCGUUGUCCGGAAUGAUUGGGCGUAAAGGGCGCGUAGGCGGCCCGGUAAGUCUGGAGUGAAAGUCCUGUUUUUAAGAUGGGAAUUGCUUUGGAUACUGUCGGGCUUGAGUGCAGGAGAGGGAAGUGGAAUUCCCAGUGUAGCGGUGAAAUGCGUAGAGAUUGGGAGGAACACCAGUGGUGAAGGCGACUUACUGGACUGUAACUGACGCUGAGGCGCGAAAGUGUGGGGAGCAAACAGGAUUAGAUACCCUGGUAGUCCACACUGUAAGCGAUGAAUGCUAGGUGUAGGGGGUAUCGACCCCUUCUGUGCCGCAGUCAACACAAUAAGCAUUCCGCCUGGGGAGUACGGCCGCAAGGUUGAAACUCAAAGGAAUUGACGGGG